Molecule: ribosomal RNA, 420 nt
Filed under: uncultured eukaryote
Lineage: Eukaryota
Description: SSU rRNA
Rfam family: Eukaryotic small subunit ribosomal RNA
Source: RNAcentral
CAAUAGCGUAUAUUCAAGUUGUUGCGGUUAAAAAGCUCGUAGUUGGGAUUUCUGCUGAGGACGACCGGUCCGCCCUCUGGGUGGGUAUCUGGCUUGGCCUUGGACAUCUUCUUGGAGAACGUAGCUGCACUUGACUGUGUGGUGCGGUAUCCAGGACUUUUACUUUGAGGAAAUUAGAGUGUUUCGAGCAGGCACACGCCUUGAAUACAUUAGCAUGGAAUAAUAAGAUAGGACCUUGGUUCUAUUUUGUUGGUUUCGUUAGCUGAGGUAAUGAUUAAUAGGGAUAGUUGGGGGCAUUCGUAUUUAAUUGUCAGAGGUGGAAUUCUUGGAUUUGUUAAAGACGGACUACUGCGAAAGCAUUUGCCAAGGAUGUUUUUCAUUGAUCAAGAACGAAAGUUAGGGGAUCGAAGACGAUCAGAU